AAAACCCAUCAUUCUAUAUUAAAAGUUGCAAAAGAAAAUGAUUUGCUUUUCGCUACCUACAGAUUCUUAAUCUUAUCACAACAGCUCAUUUCUCCCACUCUCUCCCCGCCACUCAUGAGUCGUCAACGCCUCGUCCCCUUCUGCCAAUUUACGCUAAUACCCAUCGGACCCACAGAAGAAACCAAAACAAAAAACAAAAAGGGAAAAAAGCGAAAAUACCGCACCUGCCAGCUCCCACCACUACUACCGGCAUUUCCCAGUUGCCCGUAACUUUCCGUUACAGCACUGCCCCUGCUCGCACGUAUUUAGCUCCUCCACCCGCUUCUUCUCUCAUUUGAUUAGACACCGAUCGGGCCGAAAGAAAAAGAAAAUACGCAAACAGAGUUAGGGUUUCCAACUGCUGAAUCUCAAUCCCACAUGGCUACUGCCGAAGCAGAUGCAGAUCAUAUGGCACGGCGGCGAGACGCCGUCGCCUCCUACCCAAUCCCAGAAGAAACUUCUUCAAACUCACUUUUGGCCGGUUCUCGAUGUUGCUUCGCCUUCCCCUGCUGCUUCGG
This 557-nucleotide long non-coding RNA is filed under the name Linum usitatissimum (flax). RNAcentral's name for it is "long non-coding RNA (LUSI_LNC002024)". Lineage: Eukaryota; Viridiplantae; Streptophyta; Magnoliopsida; Malpighiales; Linaceae. The record is from RNAcentral.